Molecule: long non-coding RNA, 3250 nt
Organism: Scleropages formosus (Asian bonytongue)
Lineage: Eukaryota; Metazoa; Chordata; Actinopteri; Osteoglossiformes; Osteoglossidae
Source: Ensembl
AUGUACGAAUGGAUAGUUGACGGCAUAUCUUCGCUGUUUGCGCCUCACGCCGAGCUCAAGUCCCCCGCUUGUUCCAAGGGGGCCCGCGGCCCUCAGUUGUCGAGGGCGGCGGGUCCGGACGCUCGGCGGCAGGAGGAGACCCCCAGCAGGCCGGCUAAGCGGAACUACCAGAGUGUCCACUCACCUGACCUCAAACCUGACCACCGAGAGGUAAAAAGGCCCAGAAAAGAUGUAGUGGUCAGCUUUGUUAAGAAGACCUUCUCCGGAGUCGUAGGACUGCUGCGAUUGCAAAGCCCGUUUACCACACCUCCGGAGAGUCAAAGUGCCUGUACCAGAGACCAGGUUCCUGCAGAGGAGCUGCUGGGAGUUGAUGAAAUCCAGGGUAACGGCUUGAACAAGUGGAUAACUUAUGUGGAAAUGAAGAUGGAGAAACCCAGAGAAGUGAGGUACAAUGGUAAAGUGGGAGCACUGGUCAGGAAACCUAAUAGGACAGGAAUGUUUGUGGAGAGGACCAAAGGAAAGGACCACCGGCGGUCACUUCAGUUCCUACCCCAUCGUUCCACCCUGAAUGACACAACCCCAUGCAGUGUAGAUUCACCUGCUGUGCCCCCAUCAAACUGGAGCCAGAAACCCUGUCUGACUGUGGAGGCGGCUCUGAAAGAAACUGACAGAGAACGAUACAGACUCCUUGUGGAGAUGGUGUCGGAGAAAUACUCCAAGAACAAGCCUCUGCCCUUUGCACAGACACGACCGCCAAUUAUAAAGCCUCUUCUUUCUGAAAUGCAUAGACCAGCUUUCUUCAGUAGAACCCAUGAUGUUAUCGCCGGCAAGGCUGGUCCUUUGAGAGCAAAUGCAAGUGCAUCUGUGUGGAGAGGGGCCUCCUCAGCUGAAUUGUGUAAAAAUGGGUAAUUGUUUUCAUGUGAUCACACCAAAAGCAGCAUUUCUUUUGUCCAGUUGGAUUGUUUCCGCCACGGGUUGUUCACAAAUUUCUUUUCUACUUUCAGAAAAGAAAAUGAGAAAGUGGGCCCUCGAUCUGCAAAAGAAACGAAGAAUCAUGACCAGGGUGCUGUCUGCGUGCAGGCUGAAGACACGCUGGCCAGACACCAAGAGAGGUCAUCCAACACUGAAUUCUUGCUUUCUGCUGCAAAGAGCCAUGAAACUACUGCAUGGAAACAGCCUGUCGACGUGGACUUGUCUGCUGAAGUGGCAGCCCGGUUGAACCUAGUGGACUGUGCGCCUGUGACCCCAACCUGCCCUGCAAUCAAGACUCAACAGCCAGUCCAAGAGAGCUAUUCCAGCUCUGAUGAGUUUCCCAGGCUGACCCAGGAGAUGCAGCAGGAGGUAAGGCAGGCCCUAGUGCAGAAGGACCCAAACCUGGUGCUGAGCAGUGCUUUCAAGUUGAGAAUCACUCAGAGGGACCUGACCACCCUGAAGGAUGGAGGCUGGCUCAAUGAUGAGGUGAUCAACUUCUACAUGAACCUGCUGAUGUGCCGCAACGAGCAAGGCAGGGGUAGGAAGGUGUAUGCCUUCAACACGUUCUUCUUCCCGAAGCUGCAUGGAGGUGGCCACGCAGCAGUGCGCCGCUGGACCAAGGCAGUGGAUCUCUUCCAGUAUGAAAUAAUUGUGGUACCGCUGCACAUGGGAGUCCACUGGUCCCUCUCUGUAAGUUACUUCUGCUUGUGUAUAAACAGUCAGAACAGCGCCGUUGUUUAGGCAGGUAAAAUUGAGAGAAGUAAUUGCAUUUUGGGUGUGUGCUUUGCAUUCUCGAGGUGAUCGACUUCAGGGAAAAGUCUGUGAUGUAUUAUGAUUCCAUGGGCCAGAAACAUGACGACAUCUGCAAGCUUUUGCUGUAAGUUUGUUUUAGUGUUGUUGGGGAAGGCUCCAUUGGCUGUUUAUGCAACUCUUUACUAUGUUACUCUGAACUCAUUGGGUUGGGUCUUAUGGUUCAGACUUUAUUUGAAGGAAGAGCUUAAGAUCAAGAAUGGCAAAGACUUGGAUAUCUCCAAAUGGGUGACAGCCAGUUUCAGUGCCAAGGUUAGUAUGAUGCAGUAAAGCAAAAUAGUGGAAUUUUCCUCUUCAGGUUUUUAGUUUCCCAUGGUACUCAGGUACUCUUACUUUACAGGAGAUUCCUCAACAGAACAAUGGCAGUGAUUGCGGAGUCUUCGUCUGUAAAUAUGCUGACUACAUUUCCCAGGGCAGACCUCUCACUUUUACUCAGGUAUUAAUUUUCUUCUGUUCAGGGGAACUUCUCAUUCCUUUGAACUAGCGGACUUUCUUGUUCAUAAGAAGCUGCCAUUGUAAUCCUGUUUUUUAAAUUCUCUUUUCCUUCAGAGUCAUGUGCCUUAUUUCCGAAGGAGGAUGAUCUGGGAAAUCCUUAACCAACGGCUGCUAUAAGAGGAUGUAUCACCAUGGAAACGUAACCAGUAACAGUAUGACCAAAGCAAGGGACUGCCGAGUCAGCUGCUCACCCUUGCAUCCUCUCUAAAAUUGUACAUACUGAUCUCAACACCUGGAAAAUGAUAAGCUAUUUUUGCAUAUUUUUCCCUUUUCCCACUUGUAAAGUUGCUAUGGAACAAUAUGAAUGUGAAUGGAGGAGAGAAUAACACUGAACCAAUUGUAAAUGAGUGGUUUUGUAAAAUUACUUCUGGGUGAGGUUCUUAAACUUGAGAACUGCAUAUAUACAUAUAUAUUUUGGUUUACUUACAGCUGAUGCUUAUUUUUGGUGCCUCAGGCCAGAUUUAGUUAAUGUGCCUUGACUCUUCAAUAUACUUUUUGUGUGAAAUGUGUGUAGAUCUCCCCCCAACAUCAAUACGUACACACUUGUGACGUGAACAUUGUAUGGUGACAGUGUACUCACAAAGUGUUAUUUUUUUUCUCAUUGAUAAUUGAGCUGUAUGAAGCUUGUUGUGUAAGUACUUAAUUUUAUAGUUUAACUGAAUGUUCAUAGACCUGUUAUUGAACUGUUGGUUUGACUGGACUAGCAUGUCACAAAACACCUGAAAAUUUUGCUGGUUAUCUUGUUUUCCGUGUUUAGUAUCCUUUGGCGAUAAAUGUGUAGGUAAAUCAAGGUUUAAGUUAAUGCUUGCUCUUGUUUUGAAGAGGUAUUUUCGUAUUGCGGAGGUGCAGUUUCAUUCAUCCUCUGCGUGUUUGUGAAUUCAGGCAGCAGUUCAAUGUGAUGCUUUUCCAUAGGCUUCAUGGAAGUGUACAUGAACAUUACUGAAAUUAAUAAAAACAAAUGGAUGUCAUUGCA